GCGGGAAUAGCUCAGUUGGUAGAGCAUCAGCCUUCCAAGCUGAGGGUCGCGGGUUCGAACCCCGUUUCCCGCUCUA
This 76-nucleotide transfer RNA is filed under the name Nitrospinae bacterium RIFCSPLOWO2_12_FULL_45_22. RNAcentral describes it as "tRNA-Gly". It matches the Rfam family "tRNA". From Rfam's summary of the family: Transfer RNA (tRNA) molecules are approximately 80 nucleotides in length. The record is from RNAcentral. Lineage: Bacteria; Pseudomonadati; Nitrospinota.